This 439-nucleotide ribosomal RNA is filed under the name uncultured bacterium. RNAcentral describes it as "partial 16S ribosomal RNA". It matches the Rfam family "Bacterial small subunit ribosomal RNA", at positions 339 to 795 of the family's 1533-position model. The record is from RNAcentral.
CUACGGGCCGCUCCAGUGGGGAAUAUUGCACAAUGGGCGAAAGCCUGAUGCAGCAAUACCGCGUGGAGGAUGAAGCAUCUAGGUGUGUAAACUCCUUUUAUAUAGGAAGAUAAUGACGGUACUAUAUGAAUAAGCACCGGCUAACUCCGUGCCAGCAGCCGCGGUAAUACGGAGGGUGCAAGCAUUACUCGGAAUUACUGGGCGUAAAGAGCAUGUAGGUUGGUUAAUAAGUUCUAAGUUAAAUAUUAUAGCUUAACUAUGAAAAUGCUUAGAAAACUGUUAAUCUAGAGUUCGGGAGAGGCAGAUGGAAUUUCUGGUGUAGGGGUAAUAUCCGUAGAUAUCAGAAGGAAUACCGAUUGCGAAAGCGAUCUGCUGGAACGAUACUGACACUAAGAUGCGAAAGUGUGGGUAGCAAACAGGAUUAGAUACCCUGGUAGUC